This is a long non-coding RNA of Aethalodelphis obliquidens (Pacific white-sided dolphin), 1584 nucleotides long. RefSeq lists it as uncharacterized. The transcript has 2 exons. NCBI's taxonomy places the organism in Eukaryota, Metazoa, Chordata, Mammalia, Artiodactyla, Delphinidae. The record is from RefSeq and is a predicted model, not a curated record.
AUGUAUUUAUAUUCAUUCACUCAAUGGACAAGUUUAGGCUCAAAAGAUGAAUGAAGCUCUGUGCAGGGGGCUGUGCUGCACAGAAAGCCCUUGCCACCCAGGAACUCAGUGUGUCUGGGGACACGCUAUCAACACAAGAAUCCACAGCCUGCAGUUAAAAUGCCGAGACAGAAGUUACACCACAUGCCAUGGGAACAGCGUGGGGACUCAAGAACUCUGCUUCUCGAUGAGUUCCUUCACGUCCAAACGUAUCUCUACAUUACUUACUCUCUUUACCUCUGGCAAGGUUGAAUGGCCUUAUUUUACCCAACACCAGGAAUCUUCCAGGAACUCCAGACAGACUCAGGCAGGUGAGGUCAGGCAGGCAUGUGUUCAUGGAAGGAAGUGGGCAAGCAGCUGCGGGGGCAGACAGGCCUGCCGAUAGCCUCUCACUCAGGAAGAACUCUGCCUGCCACCCAUCCCGGAGCUGGGGAGUAGACAUCCAAGGGUGGACCAUGGAGAGAAAUGACUUUAGCAAAGCCCCACCAUAUGAGCAGAGCCUGUGUCCACGACAUCUCAUCAAAUUAAAAAAAGCAUCAUGAUGGGUCCCUGAAUUAUUUCUUUAGAACAGGCUCCUGAAGCUGGAGUCCCUAGCGUCAGCAGGAGUGCGCUUUGAAUUCCUGCCCUUGCCCUGCAGGUAGGUUGUAACACUAUUUCUAGCAGCAGUUUAUGAGCACGAACAGCUAUGGUCCUUGUUAACAUUUAAGAUCUUUUUAAAUCUAUGCUGAUUUGGGGCUAUAAAUAUCUCACUAAGGCUUUUUCACAUUUAUUGAUCAUUUGCAUUUCAUUAUAUUCUAUCUGAAUUGCCUUUUUGUAUUCUCUCUGCUUUUAAAAACAGUUGUUUACCUUUUUCUUAAUGUUUUAUAAGACCUUUUUAUAUAAUAGCUAUAUUAAUCCUUUUAUACGCAUUUGACAAGUCCUUUCCUGCCCACACCCUCUUACAAAUUUUCCUUAUCUCUUAACUUUAUAUCUGGCAGGUGGUUGUUUUAUUUCAAAGCACAUUUAAAAUUUUUACGUAUUAACAUGUAUUAAUCUUUUCCUUAGAAUAUGUCAGAUUUUGGUUACAUGCUUAGAAAGAACUUUCGCAAUCUAAAUUUUCAUACAACUUUUCACUCUAUAUUUUCUUCUAUUGCCUUUAUGGUUUCUCCUUUUUUUUUUUUAACUUUAAAAUAUUUAGCCCAUCUGGAAUUCAUUUCAGUCUGAGGUAUGAAUUUAACACUAUUUUCCCCUGAAAUGAUUAGUAGCCUGUCACAACACGUUCCCUGGCUAAUCCUUCCUUUUUCCAUAGAUUUAAAGAGACAUCUUUACACAUGUACCUCGUCCCAUGUGCUUCUGUGGCACUUCUUGUGGGCAUCACAUCAUGAUGAGAGAUGGUGGCACCUGUUAGGGGAACCUCUCUGACUCAGCACUUUUGUUACUUCCAGGUAAAAACUCUGGAAUAUACAUACACACUGUUGGGAUGUUGACUGGCAUUUUGUUAUAUUUGCAGAUUACAGAGAAUUAUGAUAGUCUCAUUAAAUAUAAUAAACAUUUUGUUUCUUCCUU